GUGCCAGCAGCCGCGGUAAUACGGAGGGGGCUAGCGUUGUUCGGAAUUACUGGGCGUAAAGCGCACGUAGGCGGACUGUUAAGUCGGGGGUGAAAUCCCGGGGCUCAACCCCGGAACUGCCUUCGAUACUGGCAGUCUAGAGUUCCGGAGAGGUGGGUGGAAUUCCGAGUGUAGAGGUGAAAUUCGUAGAUAUUCGGAGGAACACCAGUGGCGAAGGCGGCCCACUGGCCGGACACUGACGCGGAGGUGCGAAAGCGUGGGGAGCAAACAGGAUUAGAUACCCUGGUAGGCCACGCCCUAAACGAUGAGCGCUAGACGUCGGGCGGCAUGCCGUUCGGUGUCGCAGCUAACGCAUUAAGCGCUCCGCCUGGGGAGUACGGCCGCAAGGUUAAAACUCAAAUGAAUUGGCGGGG
This 413-nucleotide ribosomal RNA is filed under the name uncultured prokaryote. RNAcentral's name for it is "bacterial SSU rRNA". It matches the Rfam family "Bacterial small subunit ribosomal RNA", at positions 505 to 918 of the family's 1533-position model. The record is from RNAcentral.